UACGUAGGGUGCGAGCGUUAAUCGGAAUUACUGGGCGUAAAGGGUGCGCAGGCGGCGUCGCAAGUCAGGCGUGAAAUCCCCGGGCUUAACCUGGGAACUGCACUUGAAACUACGAUGCUGGAGUAUGGCAGAGGGAGGUGGAAUUCCACGUGUAGCGGUGAAAUGCGUAGAGAUGUGGAGGAACACCGAUGGCGAAGGCAGCCCCCUGGGCUAACACUGACGCUCAUGCACGAAAGCGUGGGGAGCAAACAGG
RNAcentral lists this ribosomal RNA (253 nucleotides) under uncultured bacterium. Its description in RNAcentral is "partial 16S ribosomal RNA". It matches the Rfam family "Bacterial small subunit ribosomal RNA", at positions 524 to 776 of the family's 1533-position model. The record is from RNAcentral.